AUGUUCAGACGGGAGAUGAUAAACCGGGCAAUGCACGCCGCGGUGAGGGGCGGCGACCUGGAGAUCCUCAGGGAGCUCCUGCAGGGUUGCUCCGAUGCCGCUGCGUACCAGGACGCCCAGGGCGCUGCCAUCUUGCAUGCUGCGGCUGCAAGGGGCCAAGUUGAGGUGAUUCUGCUUCUGCUUCUAAAUCUUGAUGAUAUCUGA
RNAcentral lists this ribosomal RNA (204 nucleotides) under Triticum aestivum (bread wheat). Its description in RNAcentral is "partial small subunit ribosomal RNA". The record is from RNAcentral. Lineage: Eukaryota; Viridiplantae; Streptophyta; Magnoliopsida; Poales; Poaceae.